RNAcentral lists this ribosomal RNA (483 nucleotides) under uncultured bacterium. Its description in RNAcentral is "bacterial SSU rRNA". It matches the Rfam family "Bacterial small subunit ribosomal RNA", at positions 30 to 508 of the family's 1533-position model. The record is from RNAcentral.
AUUGAACGCUGGCGGCAUGCCUUACACAUGCAAGUCGAACGGUAACAGGUCUUCGGAUGCUGACGAGUGGCGAACGGGUGAGUAAUACAUCGGAACGUGCCCGAGAGUGGGGGAUAACGGAGCGAAAGCUUUGCUAAUACCGCAUACGAUCUACGGAUGAAAGCAGGGGACCGCAAGGCCUUGCGCUCAUGGAGCGGCCGAUGGCAGAUUAGGUAGUUGGUGGGAUAAAAGCUUACCAAGCCGACGAUCUGUAGCUGGUCUGAGAGGACGACCAGCCACACUGGGACUGAGACACGGCCCAGACUCCUACGGGAGGCAGCAGUGGGGAAUUUUGGACAAUGGGCGAAAGCCUGAUCCAGCCAUGCCGCGUGCAGGAUGAAGGCCUUCGGGUUGUAAACUGCUUUUGUACGGAACGAAAAGACUCCUUCUAAUAAAGGGGGUCCAUGACGGUACCGUAAGAAUAAGCACCGGCUAACUACGUGC